AUGUCUGUAAUUUAAAGGGAAAAUACUUAUCUUCGAAAUAAAUAAUAGGAGUUCAAAUCUUCUCGGACAUU
RNAcentral lists this transfer RNA (71 nucleotides) under Poecillastra laminaris. RNAcentral's name for it is "tRNA-Arg". It matches the Rfam family "tRNA". Rfam says of the family: Transfer RNA (tRNA) molecules are approximately 80 nucleotides in length. Their secondary structure includes four short double-helical elements and three loops (D, anti-codon, and T loops). Further hydrogen bonds mediate the characteristic L-shaped molecular structure. tRNAs have two regions of fundamental functional importance: the anti-codon, which is responsible for specific mRNA codon recognition, and the 3' end, to which the tRNAs corresponding amino acid is attached (by aminoacyl-tRNA synthetases). tRNAs cope with the degeneracy of the genetic code in two manners: having more than one tRNA (with a specific anti-codon) for a particular amino acid; and 'wobble' base-pairing, i.e. permitting non-standard base-pairing at the 3rd anti-codon position. Lineage: Eukaryota; Metazoa; Porifera; Demospongiae; Tetractinellida; Vulcanellidae. The record is from RNAcentral.